ACUAUUUUGGCAGAAAAGAAAAGUGCAAUAGAUUUAGAAUCUAAUUAUAUGAUGAUAUCAUAGAUAGUA
Molecule: transfer RNA, 69 nt
Filed under: Phyllothelys shaanxiense
Lineage: Eukaryota; Metazoa; Arthropoda; Insecta; Mantodea; Hymenopodidae
Description: tRNA-Leu
Rfam family: tRNA
About the family: Transfer RNA (tRNA) molecules are approximately 80 nucleotides in length.
Source: RNAcentral